AACAACAUUACAGUACCAGAGAGAUGAGGUUCUUUAAAACAACAUUACAGUACCAGAGAGAGGUUCUUUAAAACAACAUUACAGUACCAGAGAGAGGAGGUUCUUUAAAACAACAUUACAGUACCAGAGAGAGGAGGUUCUUUAAAACAACAUUACAGUACCAGAGAGAGGAGGUUCUUUAAAACAACAUUACAGUACCAGAGAGAGGAGGUUCUUUAAAACAACAUUACAGGACCAGAGAGAGGAGGUUCUUUAAAACAACAUUACAGGACCAGAGAGAGGAGGUUCUUUUCAACAUCAUAAUACAAUUAGAAGUGAGAACAACUAUGAAACAAGACCUGAUGGUGAGACAGUGGGCUAAAAAUAGGAGGCCAGUGGGUUCGUACAGUCAGGC
Molecule: long non-coding RNA, 394 nt
Organism: Oncorhynchus tshawytscha (Chinook salmon)
Lineage: Eukaryota; Metazoa; Chordata; Actinopteri; Salmoniformes; Salmonidae
Source: Ensembl